AUACUCACAAAGGAGUGCUUUGGCUGAGAUCGCAGAUUUGCGAAAUCCUAAGGACCUGAUCUCGUUAAUACGAGCGUAGGGAUUGUGAAAAGUCAUUUU
This 99-nucleotide non-coding RNA is filed under the name Streptococcus urinalis. RNAcentral's name for it is "TPP sequence". It matches the Rfam family "TPP riboswitch aptamer (THI element)". From Rfam's summary of the family: Vitamin B(1) in its active form thiamin pyrophosphate (TPP) is an essential coenzyme that is synthesised by coupling of pyrimidine and thiazole moieties in bacteria. The previously detected thiamin-regulatory element, thi box was extended, resulting in a new, highly conserved RNA secondary structure, the THI element, which is widely distributed in eubacteria and also occurs in some archaea. RNAcentral also lists the same sequence under 1 other name. The record is from RNAcentral. Lineage: Bacteria; Bacillati; Bacillota; Bacilli; Lactobacillales; Streptococcaceae.